Lepisosteus oculatus (spotted gar) is the source of this 1916-nucleotide long non-coding RNA. The record is from Ensembl. Lineage: Eukaryota; Metazoa; Chordata; Actinopteri; Semionotiformes; Lepisosteidae.
UCAACGGCAAGGCCUUCAGGCACAGCCCCUAGUGAAGGAUGGGGGGUCAGGGGGUUGGUGAGACCAGAGCGAUCACCACCUGAGAUGCCACAUGGGCGGGUGUGUCAAAAAUAACCCUCGAGCCUGAAUUCAAAAAGGAACAAUCCUCAACUGCUCCAGACAGUGCAAGGGCCUGUUGGCAGAUGGAGCUGUGGCGUGCAGGACAGUGUGUGUUAAUAAAUAAGGGCAAUGGUUAAAAAACAGCAGGAGGAGCAUCAAUCCUGUGUUUAAUUUGGGUUUGGAGCAUCAAAUUAAAAUUGAAACACCACGUCACAAAAGUAGAAACUGCUGUAUGCAGGAGUACAUUUAAAAGUGAGAAGAGGAGGCACGUCUUUACUCAAAGGAUGGUGGGGGUUUGGAACAAGCUAAUGCUGAUACCCUGGUUUCUUUCGAAAAAUUACUGGAGGACAUCCUGGUAUAACACAGGCCAAGUGAAGCCAGUGCUCUCCUUUUGUUUCUGAUCUUUCUUAUGUUCAAGAGAUCGCCUGCCUGAGCUCUCUGCCAAUAAAGAUACCGCAGGCUGCUCACUGUGUGACGACCCUUCCCACAGGGCACAGAGCUGCUGCUGCAAGCCCCAAGCAAAGGCUGAUCGAUGUCCUCCUCUCCAGACGCCGCACUCAGCGGUUUGACCAGGAGGUGCAAAGCUCCAACGUACAGAGGCAGCUGGAGGAGGCCAGGGAGCGACUGAGCAGGGAGCUGCAGGCACUGCGCUUACAGAAGACGCACCACGAGUUUAUUGUGCCCCGGCAUCAGCACGACGAGGCGCAGAGCCUGCAGGCCCGUGUCCAGAGGAGAGCGGAGAGCCUACCAGGCCUGCGGGCCGCAGUGUGGGACCUCAGGUAUAUCAAUAGCAGAUCUCGUCCACUGUGUGACAGGGACUGGCCUGCAGGGUCUAAGGUUGCCUGUCGGACUUGGACUUCGAAGCUGGAGUGGGCUUGGACUUGGGGCUGUGGUCAGUGCUCUGGACUGGGGAGUUGUGAGUUUGAGUCCCAAGGGAAGCCCUUCACUCAGAUUCUCCACCACUCAUAUACUGUACAGUCAAGGUUGUGUCUUAGGCAAGCGGCUUUACCUGCGUUGGCCCUGCAGCUGCACUGAGUCGCUCAGGAAAGGAAAGACACAUCAGAAACAGCUGCACUGCUGUGCAGGAAAAUGGACAGACUGAGUGAGAUUCAGCGCCCUGCUGUCCUGUGUUUCUGGACAGACCCUUGUUCUGAGUGAAGGUACUUCCUCAACGGAGCACCCAGGUGCUGAAAUCUCUUUCGAUUUUGACGUGAAGUCCACUCUGGACCCGGAUUUCUGCACGCUGGCAAAUGUGGCAGUGCAGAUCUGGCCUGGCAUCUUCAGUACAAUGUAGUUAUCUUACAUUUUAAAAGGACUGGCUUUGCGGUGCAUCUUCACAAAACAGGCUGUAGAGCAGGGGGCCAUACUGACCACACUGCUGUGACACAGAUUGUGUGUGGGCAUAGUUCACCGUGGUUUGUAAAGUACAGUCUGUACAACACUGACACAGCCGGGGCUGGAUGUAGGUCACACGUUUGCUUGUGCAGGACUUUGUGUUUUUAAUAGUUUUUUUAUGAUGUUUCAUUAAGUGCGUAAGAAAUUGUAUAUUGUGUGUAGAAAGUAAGAUCAAGGGAGUUAUUUUCAUAUAAUGAUAGAAGACAAUGAUGGGAUUGUUUAAUGAGUACAUAAACAUUUUUUAUGAGCUAGCAUAAUUUAUAUUGCUCUGUCACAGGCAUACCUGCUGGAUUUACUCUGAUAACAUCAAUCAUUGCUCUGUGUUAAGAGAUUUCUCCAGGAAAAUUAACAAAUUCAUCAAGGAGGGCUGUAUGUUACUCUUAAUGUGAAGUUUGCAGUUUGUAUUAUUUGACUGUCUGGAG